AUACGUAGGUGGCGAGCGUUAUCCGGAUUUACUGGGUGUAAAGGGCGCGUAGGCGGGAAUGCAAGUCAGGUGUGAAAUCUAGGGGCUCAACCCCUAAACUGCACUUGAAACUGCGUUUCUUGAGUGUCGGAGAGGUUGACGGAAUUCCUAGUGUAGCGGUGAAAUGCGUAGAUAUUAGGAGGAACACCAGUGGCGAAGGCGGUCAACUGGACGAUAACUGGCGCUGAGGCGCGAAAGCGUGGGGAGCAAACAGGAUUAGAUCCCCUGGUAGUCCACGCCGUAAACGAUGAAUACUAGGUGUGGGGGGACUGACCCCCUCCGUGCCGCAGUUAACACAAUAAGUAUUCCACCUGGGGAGUACGGCCGCAAGGUUGAAACUCAAAUGAAUUGACGGGG
RNAcentral lists this ribosomal RNA (396 nucleotides) under uncultured bacterium. Its description in RNAcentral is "partial 16S ribosomal RNA". It matches the Rfam family "Bacterial small subunit ribosomal RNA", at positions 523 to 918 of the family's 1533-position model. The record is from RNAcentral.